UGGCUCUGGAGAAUCCCGGAAGCGGGUACCGAAGGUGCAAGGCGAUUUUUCGCUGAAUCUCUCAGGUAAAAGGACAGAGUGGGAA
Molecule: non-coding RNA, 85 nt
Filed under: uncultured Eisenbergiella sp.
Lineage: Bacteria; Bacillati; Bacillota; Clostridia; Lachnospirales; Lachnospiraceae
Description: Glycine riboswitch
Rfam family: Glycine riboswitch aptamer (bases 4-79)
About the family: This family represents the bacterial glycine riboswitch. Glycine riboswitches usually consist of two metabolite-binding aptamers domains with similar structures in tandem.
Source: RNAcentral